GUGGGGAAUAUUGGACAAUGGGCGAAAGCCUGAUCCAGCCAUGCCGCGUGAGUGAUGAAGGCCUUAGGGUUGUAAAGCUCUUUCAGUAGGGAAGAUAAUGACGGUACCUACAGAAGAAGCCCCGGCUAACUUCGUGCCAGCAGCCGCGGUAAUACGAAGGGGGCUAGCGUUGUUCGGAUUUACUGGGCGUAAAGCGCACGUAGGCGGAUUGGUCAGUUAGAGGUGAAAUCCUGGAGCUCAACUCCAGAACUGCCUUUAAUACUGCCAGUCUAGAGUCCAGAAGAGGUGAGUGGAACUCCUAGUGUAGAGGUGGAAUUCGUAUAUAUUAGGAAGAACACCAGUGGCGAAGGCGGCUCACUGGUCUGGUACUGACGCUGAGGUGCGAAAGCGUGGGGAGCAAACAGGAUUAGAAACCCGUGUAGUCC
RNAcentral lists this ribosomal RNA (425 nucleotides) under uncultured bacterium. RNAcentral describes it as "partial 16S ribosomal RNA". It matches the Rfam family "Bacterial small subunit ribosomal RNA", at positions 354 to 796 of the family's 1533-position model. The record is from RNAcentral.